Molecule: ribosomal RNA, 253 nt
Filed under: uncultured bacterium
Lineage: Bacteria
Description: partial 16S ribosomal RNA
Rfam family: Bacterial small subunit ribosomal RNA
Source: RNAcentral
UACGUAGUGGGCUAGCGUUGCUCGGAAUCACUGGGCGUAAAGCGCACGUAGGCGGCUUCUUAAGUCAGGGGUGAAAUCCUGGAGCUCAACUCCAGAACUGCCUUUGAUACUGAGGAGCUUGAGUCCGGGAGAGGUGAGUGGAACUGCGAGUGUAGAGGUGAAAUUCGUAGAUAUUCGCAAGAACACCAGUGGCGAAGGCGGCUCACUGGCCCGGUACUGACGCUGAGGUGCGAAAGCGUGGGGAGCAAACAGG